Long non-coding RNA from Zea mays, 1462 nucleotides. RefSeq lists it as uncharacterized. The transcript has 2 exons. The record is from RefSeq and is a predicted model, not a curated record. NCBI's taxonomy places the organism in Eukaryota, Viridiplantae, Streptophyta, Magnoliopsida, Poales, Poaceae.
ACAGGCUCAGUCCUGCUUGAAAAAACAUGUCCAGAAAGUAGAAUGUAUGAAAUGGCUAGAUUCAGGCUCUUUUUGUUGGCGUAGCACCAUUGCAGGAGGAUUGGCUUCGUGGCUUCGUGUGCGAGAAGGACGCCAUCGCGGGUAGGAGAACGUCGGCGUGCCGGAGAAGCCGCUGGCCUCUGCGAGAAGCACGCUGCCGCGGGGAGGAGAACACCGGCGUCGCGUGCCGGAGAAGCCGCUGGCCUCUGCGAGAAGCACGUUGCCGCGGGGAGGAGAACGCCGGCGUCGCGUGCCGGAGAAGCCGCUGUAUUGUGCGAGAAGGAUGUCGUGUUGGGAGCCGCAACCUUGUACUGAGGCGGUGUCGGAGGCGACCUGGGCCGCGAUGGCCAGCAUGCUCACCGGCUGGCAAAAUCGCCUCCUCCACGAGAUUCGUUUGGGGAAGAAACAGAGAUUAGAGUGUUUUUAUAAUAUGUAACAGAGAAAGAUGUGUUUAUGGAAAAUGAACAAAAGAAGGCGCGGGAGGGCUUCUUUGCAAAAUAGCUGUAGCACCGUUGGAUGUGGUGGUGUGGUCUGGAUUGAUUUUGCUAUGGGAGCAGCAGCGCUCCUUGCGCACAAGAUACGGUGCCUUUACACAUAUCACCGAUGCUUUGAUGAUGACAGACAAUUCAUUCUCUAUUCUUAAGCAAUCAUCGUGGCUAAACGCCUCGCGUUGUCCGUGCCCCCAUUCGAGGCGAGAGAAUUCUGGGUCCGCGAAUUUGGAAAAUCAUAGGCUGACUGUCUGUUCCUCCUAUCCGUUUCUCGAGAGAUGGAUUCAUCCUUUCCUUGGGUCCAUCAAGCAAAAAAAAAAAAAAAAAAAAAAACGGAGAAAGCCUAGGAUCAGUGAGUACUUCUUCAGUUCCCCUCCAUGUCUCAGUACUUCUUCAGUCAGAUCUCCCCCUUGUGACCUCCCCAUACCUCUUCUUCUCUUCUGGCAACUCGCAGCGGCCGAGUUCUACCGUCGCCAUGGACGAAAUCCAUCUGGGUUGCAGACCUAGUGCCGAGCAAUCAUCUCCUCGUACGCUGACCAAUCUCCAGCUCGAUUUAGUGGAAGGAGGGCCACCCAGUUCGCGGAGCUUCAACAAGGAGUCCUUGUUGGCUCUUAUCCCCUUCGAUUGCAGUGAGGAUAGUCAGUUGGUAGAUGCAACAAAUCAAGUCGAUUGGGACGCUAUGAUAUUGUCGGAUGCAUGGGACGACGAAAGAAGACAUGACAUGCCACGUGAAAGUGAGAUAUAUUGUGAACUUGGAUUAAUGCAAGAGGACGAGGCCGAGCAAAGAAGAAGGGAGGAAGCAUUUGCAGGUGGAUGUAGCAGCGUGGAAGAUAGUGUUAAAAAAUGUGCUAGGUGACCGGUGGCGGAGGACGCCAGAAAAUUUAGGUGUUGCUAACGCAACGAAGAAUAAAAAUUUAUGACAUAUUUUAAAAUAA